CUGAAACAUCUGCUCCCGUACGAUCACCGAAGUUAAACGACGUUGAGCCUGGCCAGUACUUAGAUGAAGGAAACUACUUGGGAAUACCAGGUGCUGUAA
Molecule: non-coding RNA, 99 nt
Organism: Acanthosepion pharaonis
Lineage: Eukaryota; Metazoa; Mollusca; Cephalopoda; Sepiida; Sepiidae
Source: the annotation of a GenBank genome assembly